This 588-nucleotide ribosomal RNA is filed under the name uncultured bacterium. RNAcentral describes it as "partial 16S ribosomal RNA". It matches the Rfam family "Bacterial small subunit ribosomal RNA", at positions 355 to 1375 of the family's 1533-position model. The record is from RNAcentral.
UGGGGAAUUUUGGACAAUGGGCGAAAGCCUGAUCCAGCAAUGCCGCGUGUGUGAAGAAGGCCUUCGGGUUGUAAAGCACUUUUGUCCGGAAAGAAAUCCUUGGCUCUAAUACAGUCGGGGGAUGACGGUACCGGAAGAAUAAGCACCGGCUAACUACGUGCCAGCAGCCGCGGUAAUACGUAGGGUGCAAGCGUUAAUCGGAAUUACUGGGCGUAAAGCGUGCGCAGGCGGUUUGCUAAGACCGAUGUGAAAUCCCCGGGCUCAACCUGGGAACUGCAUUGGUGACUGGCAGGCUAGAGUAUGGCAGAGGGGGGUAGAAUUCCACGUGUAGCAGUGAAAUGCGUAGAGAUGUGGAGGAAUACCGAUGGCGAAGGCAGCCCCCUGGGCCAAUACUGACGCUCAUGCACGAAAGCGUGGGGAGCAAAACAGGAUUAGAUACCCCUGGUAGUCCACGCCCUAAACGAUGUCAACUAGUUGUUGGGGAUUCAUUUCCUUAGUAACGUGAGCUAACGCGUGAAGUUGACCGUCUGGGGAGUACGGUCGCAAGAUUAAAACUCAAAUGAAUUGACGGGGUCAUAGCUGUUUCCU